RNAcentral lists this unclassified non-coding RNA (258 nucleotides) under Hevea brasiliensis (rubber tree). Lineage: Eukaryota; Viridiplantae; Streptophyta; Magnoliopsida; Malpighiales; Euphorbiaceae. The record is from RNAcentral.
CUAGCUUACACCAAACGCUCCAUGGAUGAUAGUACCGUUGCUCCUGCCAUAAUUCAAGAUGGCCAUGAACACAUCGAAAAAGUCUCUGCUGCCACAAGAAAACCCUCCACGGGUGGCUGGAAUGCGGCCAUUUUCAUCAUUUUUGUGGAGGUGGCAGAGAGAUUCGCUUACUUCGGUUUGUCUGGAAACCUCAUAACAUAUCUCACAAACGAUCUCCAUGAGUCCACUGUCACUGCAGCCAAGAACGUCAACACCUGG